Cyanistes caeruleus (blue tit) is the source of this 752-nucleotide long non-coding RNA. RefSeq lists it as uncharacterized. The record is from RefSeq and is a predicted model, not a curated record. Lineage: Eukaryota; Metazoa; Chordata; Aves; Passeriformes; Paridae.
UUUAGAAGCUUGUGAUCAUAUGUUUCUUUAGGUCUCAUUCUCAGCUGUGUUGACAGCUAUGUGCAGCAAUGUUUCUUUACAGUGGAUAAGGACUUGUGCCAAUUCAAAGGCAGGCAGAGGCUUCCAGCCACAGGAUUCUCGGGCAUCCGUCUUUGCGGUUCUUGGAAAAAGUUGUUCUGUUAGCAUCUUUUUCCUCCGGGGUCACCCGAGCUCGGCAGGCUUGCCUCCGGUCCCUCUUUGGUCAUCUCGUUCAGCAUUCUCUCGGUCCUCGUGAGGACUUUCUUGUCUCAGAGAGUUUUCUCUCCCUGUCACGUCCCCUCGUCUCACGGGUGUCUGGGGGUAUUUGGUCCGGAGCUGCUCUGCCCUGCUGCCCAGCCCGGUUGUAGGUGUUUAAGGACAAGUCCCGGGCACUUGUAAUUGGAGACUGGUAGUAUGGCCUGUGGUUGGAGUCUAGGUGGUAUUAUGUUGACAGCAGGUGUCUGGAGCUGUGAAGUUACCCUGCAGCACUUUGACUUUUUUCCUAACUUUCUUUCAGAUGCAGAUGGUUUGACCUCGUGGCAGAGCAGCUGUCCCAGAUGAGGGGGUCCCCCUGAGAAGGAAGUAAAGCCGGAUAGCAGCGGGGAAGGCGAAGCAGGUGGAAGGCUGCCUCCUGAUGCUGUGCUGAGGCCCCCUCACUGACCUGCCAAGAGACCCGGUUUGCUUCUCUGGUGAGCCCCAGCAAAUAUUACUGGAGUCCGUGACGAAGCCUCGAC